GACGAACGCUGGCGGCGUGCCUAAUACAUGCAAGUUGAGCGAUGAAGAUUGGUGCUUGCCCCAAUUUGAAGAGCAGCGAACGGGUGAGUAACGCGUGGGGAAUCUGCCUUUGAGCGGGGGACAACAUUUGGAAACGAAUGCUAAUACCGCAUAACAACUUUAAACAUAAGUUUUAAGUUUGAAAGAUGCAAUUGCAUCACUCAAAGAUGAUCCCGCGUUGUAUUAGCUAGUUGGUGAGGUAAAGGCUCACCAAGGCGAUGAUACAUAGCCGACCUGAGAGGGUGAGCGGCCACAUUGGGACGGAGACACGGCCCAAACUCCUACAGGAGGCAGCAGUAGGGAAUCUUCGGCAAUGGACGAAAGUCUGACCGAGCAACGCCGCGUGAGUGAAGAAGGGUGUCGGAUCGUAAAACUCUGUUGGUAGAGAAGAACGUUGGUGAGAGUGGAAAGCUCAUCAAGUGACGGUAACUACCCAGAAAGGGACGGCUAACUACGUG
This 497-nucleotide ribosomal RNA is filed under the name uncultured bacterium. RNAcentral describes it as "partial 16S ribosomal RNA". It matches the Rfam family "Bacterial small subunit ribosomal RNA", at positions 28 to 507 of the family's 1533-position model. The record is from RNAcentral.